UACAGAGGGUGCGAGCGUUGUCCGGAAUCACUGGGCGUAAAGGGCGCGUAGGUGGCGCUCCAAGUCCGUGGUGAAAGCUCGAUGCUCAACAUCGAGUCGGCCACGGAGACUGGAGGGCUCGAGCACUGUAGGGGCAGAUGGAAUUCCGGGUGUAGCGGUGGAAUGCGUAGAGAUCCGGAAGAACACCGGUGGCGAAGGCGGUCUGCUGGACAGUUGCUGACACUGAGGCGCGACAGCGUGGGGAGCAAACAGG
Molecule: ribosomal RNA, 253 nt
Filed under: uncultured bacterium
Lineage: Bacteria
Description: partial 16S ribosomal RNA
Rfam family: Bacterial small subunit ribosomal RNA
Source: RNAcentral